Molecule: ribosomal RNA, 460 nt
Filed under: uncultured bacterium
Lineage: Bacteria
Description: partial 16S ribosomal RNA
Rfam family: Bacterial small subunit ribosomal RNA
Source: RNAcentral
CCUACGGGUGGCAGCAGUGAGGAAUAUUGGUCAAUGGGAGGGAGUCUGAACCAGCCAAGCCGCGUGCAGGACGACGGCUCUACGAGUUGUAAACUGCUUUUAUACGGGGAUAAAAUGCUCUACGUGUAGGGUUUUGAAAGUACGGUACGAAUAAGGAUCGGCUAACUCCGUGCCAGCAGCCGCGGUAAUACGGAGGAUCCGAGCGUUAUCCGGAUUCAUUGGGUUUAAAGGGGGCGUAGGUUGUUUGAUAAGUUAGCUGUGAAAUUCCGAUGCUCAACAUCGGAGCUGCCGCUGAUACUGUCGGACUAGAGAUCGGAUGCAGCAGGCGGAAUGUGUAGUGUAGCGGUGAAAUGCAUAGAUAUUACACAGAACACCGAUUGCGAAGGCAGCUUGCUAGGCCGGAUCUGACACUGAUGCACGAAAGCGUGGGGAUCGAACAGGAUUAGAUACCCUAGUAGUC